GCAAAGUCUGGGCCACACCCGUCUACUGCAUCAGAAACUCUGGAAUCUGGGUCUUAACAAACCCUCCAAGUGAUCCUGAUGCCAGCUCAAGUUUGACCCCAGAUUAGAGGGACACAAUGAGAAGGCUGGCACUCCAGGGUGGGACCUUCCCCGGGUCCCCCAAAGCAUCAGUCAAGUCUACCCAGGUGAUGAAUUUGCUUCGUGCAAGGGUUUAGGAGCAUGGAGUCCAAUCCUCCCGGCUCUAAGCAGGACCCAGCCAGCCUGCUCUACCCAGAGCCUUCCUUAGCUACUCCCAGCCACGCAAUGUCAAUCACAACCUCCUGCCUCUCCGGCAGGCCAGGCACUGUGCUAGGAGCCUUAAGUCGUGAAUUGGUCCC
RNAcentral lists this long non-coding RNA (377 nucleotides) under Equus asinus (donkey). RNAcentral's name for it is "lncRNA (ENSEASG00005034672.1)". The record is from RNAcentral. Lineage: Eukaryota; Metazoa; Chordata; Mammalia; Perissodactyla; Equidae.